Amphiprion ocellaris (clown anemonefish) is the source of this 929-nucleotide long non-coding RNA. Lineage: Eukaryota; Metazoa; Chordata; Actinopteri; Pomacentridae. The record is from Ensembl.
UUCAAACCUGAGGCCUUAAAUAGAAACACACAAGUAUCUGUUUGAAGGAACUUCUGCAGAGUCCUGGUUCCAGAACAUGAUGAUAGAAUUAUAGACAAACUUUAACAAAAGCUGCCUGAGAGUUUACAGGUUUUUAUGUUGGAUUUCUUCAGUAAUUUAAUGAGAGUUAUCAGCAAUAAUCAAGUGUUCAUUUGAUGAACUUCAUUUCCUAAAACAUCCAGAAUUGGAGCUCAUAUCUUUGGCAGCUGUAAAGUUUCUGCUCCUUCAAAGUUCACAACACAAUGAAUGAAUUCCUAAAACACUCUCAAUGCUGGAGAGCGUUUGAUGCUGAAGCAGUGACCAGUUUUUCUGUUUCUUCUCUGGAGAUGCACAAUGAGGGACGUCUGCAGAGACUGAGAAAGAGUCUCACCACAUCCUGACAUGAGGAAAAAGACUUUAUUGAAGACUACAAUGAGAAAAACUAUCAGACAGCAGACGGCUGCAUUCAAGUUUAGGCUGUUAGAUUGUUCCAGAUAAGACAAGAUUCUUCAGAGCUGUUCUACCACGAGCCUGACAGGAAGAACUCCAACAGCUACUGAAUGUUCCUGUGGUCCCCUCAAGGUUACAGGAGGAGUCCUACGAGGACGAGCUGGUCCACCUGAUGGCGGCCAGUCGCUGCGGUUCAAAGCCAACACCGACUACGUGGACUUCUACUGGACCACACGGAGGCCUUCAAACCGGACCAACAAGUUCAGCGACUCCCCGACUCGUGGGUCUGAGGACGCCGCCGAGCCUCGGUCCAGCCGGCCUCCUGUCUGUGGGUGUUUGAGUGCUGAGAGGUUUGUGGAUGCAUGUGAACGUGUCUGUGUUGAAACAGCAGCUUUUGACUCAGUAACGCUGGUAAAAACCAAGAGCUCCUUUAUUUGUGACUUCCACUAAAAAAACUGAUG